Oncorhynchus keta (chum salmon) is the source of this 288-nucleotide long non-coding RNA. RefSeq lists it as uncharacterized. The transcript has 3 exons. The record is from RefSeq and is a predicted model, not a curated record. Lineage: Eukaryota; Metazoa; Chordata; Actinopteri; Salmoniformes; Salmonidae.
AUGGAGAGGUAGUGACGGGAAGAGAGAGAGAUGGAGAGGUAGUGACGGGAAGAGAGAGAGAGGGAGAGGUAGUGACGGGAAGAGAGAGAUGGAGAGGUAGUGACGGGAAGAGAGAGAUGGAGAGGUAGUGACGGGAAGAGAGAGAUGGAGAGGUAGUGACGGGAAGAGAGAGAGAUGGAGAGGUAGUGACGGGAAGAGAGAGAGAUGGAGAGGUAGUGACGGGAAGAGAGAGAGGGAGAGGUAGUGACGGGAAGAGAGAGAUGGAGAGGUAGUGACGGGAAGAGAGAU